RNAcentral lists this transfer RNA (78 nucleotides) under Bacteroidota bacterium. Its description in RNAcentral is "Bacteroidetes bacterium tRNA-Val". It matches the Rfam family "tRNA". Rfam says of the family: Transfer RNA (tRNA) molecules are approximately 80 nucleotides in length. Their secondary structure includes four short double-helical elements and three loops (D, anti-codon, and T loops). Lineage: Bacteria; Pseudomonadati; Bacteroidota. The record is from RNAcentral.
GGGCGAUUAGCUCAGUUGGUUUAGAGCACCUGCCUUACAAGCAGGGGGUCACUAGUUCGAAUCUAGUAUCGCCCACAA